ACACGGGGCUAAGCUGGACACCGAAGCGGCGGGAUUUUGAUUUUCAGAAUCGGUAGGGGAGCUUCCCAUGGGCGGAGAAGCCGGAGGGCGACCGACGGUGGAGCGCAUGGGAGUGAGAAUGCUGGCAUGAGUAGCGAGAGACGAGAGAGUAACUCGUCCGCCGUGAACCCGAGGUUUCCUGGGCAAGGCUAAUCCUCCCAGGGUCAGUCGGGGGCUAAGGCGAGGCCGGUAGGCGUAGCCGACGCGCAGCAGGCAGACAUUCCUGCACCGCGCACGCGGCGCUACGACCGACGGGGCGACGGAUGGGGGUGGCUCGGCGGGGUUCUGGACGUCCCCGUGAUGGAGCGCGGCCCGCGGACCAGGGAAAUCCGGUCCGCAGAAGGGCGAGGCUCCGGACGAAGCGACUGAGCGAAGCGAGUGAGCCCGAGGUCCCUAGAAAAACCCCUAGGCAGGCGCGUGCGCGCCCGUACCGCAAACCGACACAGGUGGGUGGGUAGAACAUACCGAGGCGAUCGGGUCAACCAUGGUCAAGGAACUCGGCACAAUGGCCCCGUAACUUCGGGAGAAGGGGUGCCCGCGCGUACGUGAACCGGCUCGCCCGGGGAGCGGAGGCGGGCCGCAGUGGAGAGGCCCAAGCGACUGUUUACCAAAAACACAGGACUCUGCAGAAGCCGCAAGGCGACGUAUAGGGUCUGACGCCUGCCCGGUGCCGGAAGGUCACGCGGAGGAGUUAGCCGUUUCGGCGAAGCCCCGAAGCCAAGCCCCGGUAAACGGCGGCCGUAACUAUAACGGUCCUAAGGUAGCGAAAUUCCUUGUCGGGUAAGUUCCGACCUGCACGAAAGGCGCAACGACUUGGGCGCUGUCUCGACCAUGGACCCGGUGAAAUUGCACUGGUCGUGAAGAUGCGACUUACCCGCGGAAGGACGGAAAGACCCCGUGAACCUUCACUGCAGCUUGGCAUUGGCCGCUGGUCCCGCGUGUAGAGGAUAGGCAGGAGGCAUCGAUCCGGAGGCGCCAGCCCCCGGGGAGCCGCCCUUGGAAUACUGCCCUCGCGCGACCGGCGUCCUAACCCGAGGCCGUCAACCGGCUCGGGGACCGUGCCAGGCGGGCAGUUUGACUGGGGCGGUCGCCUCCUAAAGGGUAACGGAGGCGCGCGAAGGUCCGCUCGGGACGGUCGGCAACCGUCCUUUUGAAUGCAAGAGUACAAGCGGGCUUGACUGCGAGGCCCACAAGCCGAGCAGGUGCGAAAGCAGGCUCUAGUGAUCCGGCGGCCCCGAGUGGGUGGGCCGUCGCUCAACGGAUAAAAGGUACUCCGGGGAUAACA
This 1324-nucleotide ribosomal RNA is filed under the name human gut metagenome. RNAcentral's name for it is "bacterial LSU rRNA". It matches the Rfam family "Bacterial large subunit ribosomal RNA", at positions 1173 to 2479 of the family's 2925-position model. The record is from RNAcentral.